This 438-nucleotide ribosomal RNA is filed under the name Segatella oris. RNAcentral describes it as "bacterial SSU rRNA". It matches the Rfam family "Bacterial small subunit ribosomal RNA", at positions 28 to 455 of the family's 1533-position model. Lineage: Bacteria; Pseudomonadati; Bacteroidota; Bacteroidia; Bacteroidales; Prevotellaceae. The record is from RNAcentral.
GAUGAACGCUGGCUACAGGCUUAACACAUGCAAGUCGAGGGGAAACGACGGGGAAGCUUGCUUCCUUGGGCGUCGACCGGCGCACGGGUGAGUAACGCGUAUCCAACCUGCCUCUGACUGAGGGAUAACCCGUCGAAAGUCGGCCUAAUACCUCAUGGCAUCGUCUGCGGGCAUCCAACGACGAUUAAAGAUUUCAUCGGUCAGGGAUGGGGAUGCGUCUGAUUAGCUUGUUGGCGGGGUAACGGCCCACCAAGGCUACGAUCAGUAGGGGUUCUGAGAGGAAGGUCCCCCACAUUGGAACUGAGACACGGUCCAAACUCCUACGGGAGGCAGCAGUGAGGAAUAUUGGUCAAUGGGCGAGAGCCUGAACCAGCCAAGUAGCGUGCAGGAAGACGGCCCUAUGGGUUGUAAACUGCUUUUAUGCGGGGAUAAAGUGAG